GACAAUACAUUAUCUUCUCAACAAAAAAGUAUGUGUAUUUUGCUUCUAAAAAUAACUGGUAUCUAAACUUUAAAACAAUGUAAGUCAUAAUGGAUUAAGGUGGGAAGGCAGCUUGAUUUAGCAGAAUGGAAACAAUAUGUAUUAGAGUUCAAUUCUUGAAAACUCUUCCAGAUUUAAUACAUCUUAAUGUCCUCAAUGACCUGCUCCCAGACCGAUUUUCAGAAAAUCAUUCACAGGAUCCUGACAUAGUUGAAGAAGUGUUUUGGAAUCACUGAAUUGAAAUGUCCCCUCUAACUC
Molecule: long non-coding RNA, 297 nt
Filed under: Homo sapiens (human)
Lineage: Eukaryota; Metazoa; Chordata; Mammalia; Primates; Hominidae
Description: HSALNT0108751
Source: RNAcentral